RNAcentral lists this microRNA (22 nucleotides) under Bos taurus (domestic cattle). RNAcentral describes it as "bta-miR-2300a-5p". The record is from miRBase by way of RNAcentral. Lineage: Eukaryota; Metazoa; Chordata; Mammalia; Artiodactyla; Bovidae.
UCCUCAGCUAGUUUUGUCUCCC